AGAGGAUGGAUGGGGUACUUACCAUGGAAGGGCCGCACUUGGGACGAUGGAUGGUGGCUAUCUGUUGGUGGUAGUUAGAGACGGAGACUUAGGGCGGCUUGAGGAAGAUGGCGGCUGGGUCAACUCGGCCUGAUUCAAAGACAAGUCAAUACGGACCGGCAAUAGCCAAUAUGGACUCGAAUUGGGCCAACUCGGUGGCUAGAUCCGACGGCUGGAUCCAGCCCACCAAAAUCAUGUGACGGCGAUUUUCGAUUAGAUCUACACUUGAUCCAAUGAUCGGAUCUGGAGAGGGGA
This 294-nucleotide long non-coding RNA is filed under the name Elaeis guineensis (African oil palm). RNAcentral's name for it is "long non-coding RNA (EGUI_LNC042273)". The record is from RNAcentral. Lineage: Eukaryota; Viridiplantae; Streptophyta; Magnoliopsida; Arecales; Arecaceae.